This 400-nucleotide ribosomal RNA is filed under the name uncultured Paracoccaceae bacterium. Its description in RNAcentral is "bacterial SSU rRNA". It matches the Rfam family "Bacterial small subunit ribosomal RNA", at positions 1 to 433 of the family's 1533-position model. Lineage: Bacteria; Pseudomonadati; Pseudomonadota; Alphaproteobacteria; Rhodobacterales; Paracoccaceae. The record is from RNAcentral.
UAGUGAGUUUGAUCCUGGCUCAGAACGAACGCUGGCGGCAGGCCUAACACAUGCAAGUCGAGCGAGGUAGCAAUACCUAGCGGCGGACGGGUGAGUAACGCGUGGGAACGUACCCUUUGCUACGGAAUAGCCCCGGGAAACUGGGAGUAAUACCGUAUGUGCCCUUCGGGGGAAAGAUUUAUCGGCAAAGGAUCGGCCCGCGUUGGAUUAGGUAGUUGGUGGGUAAUGGCCUACCAAGCCGACGAUCCAUAGCUGGUUUGAGAGGAUGAUCAGCCACACUGGGGACCGAGACACGGCCCAGACUCCUACGGGAGCAGCAGUGGGGAAUUUGGACAAUGGGGCGCAAGCCUGAUCCAGCAAUGCCGCGUGAGUGAAGAAGGCCUUCGGGGUUGUAAAGCUC